Molecule: long non-coding RNA, 17772 nt
Organism: Peromyscus californicus insignis
Lineage: Eukaryota; Metazoa; Chordata; Mammalia; Rodentia; Cricetidae
Exons: 2
Source: RefSeq, a predicted model, not a curated record
GCAGAGGAAAAGGUGAUCAAACCAGGGCCCUAAGAGGUGGGAGCUGAUGCUGGAAACAGUUCUCCUGGGUUGGAGUGGGGCUGUAGGACCUCUGCCUUCCAUGACAUAUAGACAAUACUGGGCUGAAAGCUGUCCUUGGAGGCACAUAUGCCACACUGGUGAUCAAUCAUGCCUGCACCCCAAACCCUCAUGCCACCCUUCCUCAUACACCUGCUGUCAUGACUGUGGCACUGUUGUCACCCCCACAGGGUCACUCUAGUCAGUCACCUAAACACGUUUGUGAAGGCCUUCUAGGGUAGCUGCACACACCAUCUCAGGACUCCAGGGCACACAGCCCCGGGACCUGGCUGCUGUUUGUCUCCAUUGGUCUUAGCCUGAUCCUUGGUCUGGCCAACUCAGCCCCACCAGGCUAUAGGUUAAGAUGGAAAAGGGGAGUCUGAAAAACACCAUAGGAACAGCCCGAGACUCAUCCCUAGGCCUACCGGGUCCCUUGGCCCAGGCUGUGGAGGAGGGCUGAGGCUCACAAUCCAUGCCCUGUCCAGGCCCCUACAGCUCUUGAUAACCCCUGGAAUUAUACAGAACCCCCUCAUGCCAAAAUGGGAGCUAUGCUUGAGCCCCUGAAGGGCUUUGUCUGUAGGGUCUCCUGAGGCCUGGGGUAGGUCUCCUUACUAGCUAUCUGAGGAGGAGGAGCGGGGAGUGGGGAAGGUGGGGAGGGAGGGCCUCUCCCAGGCCCCCAGGGCAGGCUGCUCCCUCCUCCACACAGCCUCCCUUUUAAGCACUUCCUGACUUGGCUCUGAACACCUUCUGCAGCCUCCUCCCCCGGCCUCAUUCUCUGCUCCAUCCCUUCCCAGCCUUCCUGCCCAUCCCUACCAUCCUACUUCCCUGGCAGGCCCCAAGGCAUCAGGCCCCAUCCUGGUCCCUGGGCCAGAUAUACCUAGGUGUGGCCAAGGACGAGGGCUGGGGUGCCACAUUCCUAGGAAAAAGCUCCUUGGCCUGUCACUAGAGCCCCAUUCCUUCCGAAUGCCUGCCGAAGGCUCUUUCAGGAGUGAGUCUAUUAAAAUGUGAAUCCCCCUGGGAGGGUUAUGGCUUAUCAGCUAACACCGUCAUUGACAGCUAACACCUGUGUUGACAGCUAACACCUUUCUUGGCAGCUAGCUAAGAGCAGGAUUCUGCAGACAGGAGGCCGAGGCUGGCUAACUGCUUGGAGGUGGGAAAAGACCAGGAGCCAGCCUUCCCUACCCAGCCUUGACCUCUGGGGACUGCUACUCCUCCACACUGGGCCCCUUACCACAAAGGGUCCCUGUAUGUGGUUCAUUUUGGUGCUCAACUCCGGAGCCCCACAGGCCAGGCAAGCCUAACAGCCCAGCAAGCUUUCAGGCUCUGGGAGCCCUCUUCUCACACUCAGUGACUUCGUUCAAGGAGCCUGGGUUUGCUGGGCCUGGGGUCAUUUGUUGGCAGUUACGGUGGCAAGUCAGGCCCAGGAGCCCCCAACCCAUGGAUGCCUGCCCCCUGCCCCGCCCAGGGCUGGCCAUGUGUGGGUUGCACUUGGGCCUGAGGCUCUGUCUAAGGAGGCUCUCACAUUCUCUUCUUACAUGCCCUCCCUGGGACACCCCUUGAUGCCUUAACUGCUGUCACAACAGGACACCAUACCAUGUGCAUAGCACUUCCUGGUUCUGACCUCAGAACCCAAGGCUGGAUAAGUUGGGGGCUUUCAUGCACCCAGGGCCAGGCUGGAGAUUUUACUAGCAUGGGUGCCUGGGGAGGGGGCACAUUAUCAGCCCUGCCAUGCCACAGACUGCCUAUUAUGCAGAACACCAUGCUGCCAACUGGACCUCACAUACACACCAAUCUCUGUGCCAUCCACCACACCAGUGAGUGGUAGACUGUAGCUCCCAGUCCUGAGGUUGCCCACUGAUAGCUCAGCUAGGGUCAGUGGGGGUCCAGGGCUGAGCCACAGUAGGGAGGUGGACAAUCGGAGGAGCCGCUAUGUGGUGCUCAGCCUUAACAGGCAGACGGGAAGACACAGCUGUGUUCCUGUUGGAAAUCAACUUCUAAGAGGCGGCCCUUCUCACUCACCCUGUCAGCACAGGGGCUGGGGUAGGCUCUUCUGCUGUAGCCACAGUAAUUGGCUCCAGGCCGGCCCCCCUUGGGGCCUGCCCGCUGGUCUCCAUGGCAACCCCUGCGCUGAGCAAGCAUGAGGGGGCAUCUUUUUAUGAGAUAAUCAAACCCAACUUUGCAGCAUAGCUUGUGUUCACAGCAGGGUUUUGGGGAAACACCGGACACCUGACCAGGCGGUAAGGAUGUUCCCUGACCCCACCCCAGGGCUGCCAUAUUCAGUCUCUGUCUGCCGCUUUGCAUGGCCUGCUUUGGCUCAUCCUUGUGGCUUCUGCAGUGCUUUGAGCCACAGGCCUCUGAACUUCAGGUCUGGACCCCUCCAUACUCUGUUUUCACUCCAAAACCUGCCCACAGAUUCUCACUGGAGACGGCCUUCCUUCUGGGGAGCAGCCUGGACCUCUUGCUCCCCUGAGGCCUCCACCUGCCACUCUCAACCGGUCUCUUUCAUGUUCCCACGGGCAGAAAGUGGUCCUGGGGGUCCAUCCCUCUCACAUGGAAUCCAUGCAGAGACCCCGAGGACCCUGCAGUCACUUCAGCAAGUCUUCCAAGCUAUGCACAAAGUGGGAUUUCUCCAGCUAUACCCAAGUCAAUUUUCAUCAGGCUUGUGAGUGGGUCUCCUCCAGGGCUUUUCCAUGGGGAACUCACUGGCUGUUGGAACUGGGUCAUGGCCAGUGGCUUAGCUCAGGUCAUCUAGGGAGCCACAGGGACAUGAGGUGAUCGUGGGAAAGAGCUGACAUUCUAGUGCACAUGGCUUGGAAAUUUCCCAGGGAGGGCAAUAACUAGAUACAGACCCUGGGGUCCUCCUCCACCUGGGGCAGCCUGAUCAGGCAGGAUACAGCCACUGGGCUACACCGGGCACUCGGCAUCCGCACUAACAGCUCUUUGGAGUCAAGAGCCCAGAAUCACACCCAUUGAAGAGGAAGGAGGGGGAUGGGAGAGAUGGAAGGAGAGGAAAGAGAACCAGGGAGGAAAUAGGAAGCAGAAAGAGGGCAGGGGCAGAGGGAAAGAAGCCAGGGCACCGGAGGAUAUGAAGAGGGAGAAUGGGAACGGGAGGGGCCAGGUGGGGUGGAGGCUUCUGGGGCCCUGCCCAGCAGCCACUUGAGCCAGCAGGCAGGCCUGCUGAGGUCAGCAGCUCACCUCAGCAGCCUGGUGAGCUGCUGGGCUGAGAGUGCCUGCUUUAGCACCUACCCAGCCCGCUGCGUCCCUGCAUUCUCUCCACCGCCACCCUAGCCUAGCCUGACAUCCCGUGGGGAUGUCCUCUUGUCCUCACCUGAUGAGGCGAACGAGAGUGUAGGCUGACAGCCUCACAGACUCAGGGCACUGACUUGUGUCCUUGGGUCCUGGUGUCUCUCUCAAUGACUACCCCCACAGACUUUGGAGGGAGCCGACCCGCUGGUCCGAAAGCCUCAAGUCAGUGCCACAGAGAAUCUCAUUCUCUUUCCAUCACCAUCAUCUAUUUACAGAUCAGGAAACCGAGGCAGUGAGUAGCGGAGCCCUGCUCCUACACGGAGGCAGUUCAAAAGGAAGAGGAGGUGAGGGUGAGGCAUGUGCACCUGGAGGGCUGUCAAGGAGAGCCCGGCCAGCUCAUGAAGGACAACUGCUAUGUGGCCAGGGCAGCCAGCGGGUGCUGGACUUCUGGCCUGCUGGAUAGGCCCGGCGGCACAGGGAUCUCCCGUGCUACCUACGGCUGGGAGGGUAUCUCCUCCGAUAGACUGAACCGGAGUCAGGAGGCUGUAGAAGGGGCUGCCUGCUGAGGCAGUGCAGAAGAGACCACAGUUACAAGGCAGAACAGCUCCGCAUACAAGACCAGAAAUAGCUCUGGGAGGGGGUGGAGGGACCGAUGUCAUCCCCACACUGCAGAGAAUCAAGACACCUUCUCUGGGCCCACUCCCCACAGCCCAUCCCUCCUGACCCAUCCGUACCCUGUCUUCACUCAUUUCUCACACACACACACACUGCCCACCUUCCACCCACCCUUGGGCCCACAGACACGUGCAGUGACAGCUUGCAUUCACACUGUGCUUUCUGGGGCAAGAAGAUGGCAGCAGCUUCCACAGAGGAAGGCCACCCUGUGUCUCUGGGGGUGUGGUCACCAGCAUCUGCUGCCCUGUCCUGGUCCCUUGAGGCCUUGUUUCUUAUUGAUCUUGACUAUAGAGCAAAACAGGCAGGCCAGGUCGAUAUUGGUAAGGUCACUUACUACGGCCGGCAGAUACAAGACUCAAGUUGACGUGCCCCAUUGGGGAAACUGAGGCCUGGCAUGUGUUCUGGCUGCUGGACGCCAUGUUGCAACUGGAGCAGAGCUGUUGGAAAUGGUCUUUGACUGCGUCAGGUUAUCCUCUUGUCACCAGAGAACUCAGAGAAAUUCACCUGCCUCUGCCUCCUGAGUGCUGCAGUUAAGGGCAUGCACCACCAUGCCCGGCCCUUUCCGUUUUAUUGUUGAGACACAGGGACAUGAAGCUGCCCAAGCUGUCUUUUAACUUGUGAUACUCUUAUUUCAGCCUCCCAAGUAGCUGGGAUUACAGGUGUGUGCUGCCCAUCUCUUCUAGGAAUUCAUUUUUGGUCCCACUUCCAUUACCUAAAGGGCUCCAGAGCCUUACCAGGUUCAGCAAUAUAUUCUACCCUGAUUCUCUCCUCCCAGACCCCGCCCUGUGAACUCUGCUCUGCGGGCCGAUGGUGCCAAGCAUCUGGAGGUUCUGCCUGGCUGAAGCCCACCGAACCUGGAGACUUCAGUGUCCCCUCCCCAACGAGAGGCUAGUGGCCCCCAUCAGGUGGCCAGCAAAUACCUGCUGCCUAAUUACCUGCUUCCCACCCCAGGCCGUUGUGGUCCUGCUGCUAAUUCAAUCCAUCUUCCAGUCCAGACUUCAGUCCCCAGGACACUAAUGAGCAACCAACCAAUGACUGGCAUAUCCCUACCAUAGGUAUCCUAUGAAGGAGACCUCCUUAGGCCAUAGUCUAAGCCCCAGGACUGCCACAUAAAUGCCCCUACCCCCUCCUGCCCGUCUGAUGCUGCCCUGGAUGGAGUGCUUAGCCUGGCAGGUCUAUAGUUCUGCCUUCUGUGCCUCAUAUCUACUUCCAGGACAAGCAUCCCAGACUGAGCCCUGGGUCUCCCACCCUAUCCCCAAAUCCGCUGUUGACCUGUGAGGCCUGGAGUGUCAGCAUGUGGGGUAAACACGAGACUUGGGGUGCACGUGGUAGUUAUAUAUACUUGGCCUCAACUGGAAGAUAAGAACAUAUGCUAGAGGACACCCAGUAAGGGUGGGGAGGGCAGACACAGAAAUGUGUUGUUAGUACACGUGGUAUGCAAAACAGGAUGAAUGUAUUACAGAAGUCAGUAUCCUUUGGGCACGGGGCAAACGUGAGUUGGUACAAGGGGGCUGUGCAGACCUUGGGACCUAGAGGAGGGUCUGCUGCCCGCAGCGAGAGGAAGUAGACGACACCUCCCCACAUGUUCUUGCAUUUGUAAAACAUGAUCCACCAAGCACGGAGGUGGCCUCUGCCCAGGCCAAACUUACUUUGCCAUAAAAAAAAAAAUAGUAUGUGCGGGUCUUGAGGCCAUGGUCAGCUUGCAGCCUCUGGGACCCACCUACUGUGCCUCUUGGCCACUCAUCAGGAGGGAAGCAGGCAGACAGGACCCACUGGAGAAGGUCAGUUAAUAGAGCCUCUGCACACACCUGCUAAGCUGGGCUGCCCGAGCCUCCAGAGAGCCCUGUCACAGAGGCAGUGGCCGCAGCAGGGCAGGCAGGCAGGGCCAGUGGGAACAAGUAUGCCAAGAAGGGGCAUACAACCCCUUCAGCUAGAUGCUCCCAUUGGAAUUACCCUCCAAGGCCAGAGCACUGAGUCCAUGGAGCUAGAAGAAAGGCUGAGGGGCCCCGGACAACCUGGCCCAAGAGCUGGCUGUUACAUUAGGAAUAGGGUGAUUUUUGGCAAGCAGCCACAUUUAUGUGUUCACCCACGAUCCAUGGCUGCUUUCGGUCCACUAAUGCUGGCACAAUGCAUGGUGUGGCCCACAAUGCUGGGCCCUCCUACAGGAAGUUUGCUAAUCUGCUUUGUGGCUGAACAUCUACUGUGUGCAGCCAAGGCUACGCAACCUCCUGACUAAGGAAAAGGAACCCGAGGGUCAAAGAAGACCAUUUACUGUUCCCGCCAAACACACGUGGCUGGGCAGGCCAAGCCCAGUGGUCUCUCACCUUAGUGUAGGGUUAGCUCAGAGGAACACUGGAAGGAUUGGAGGUCGAGUGUGAAAGGGAAGUAGUGAAUACCGAAAUUCUGUUUGGGUCAUGGAAAAUCAAAAAUCUUGCUGAAGACACUGUCAGGAGGCAAGAAAUUGAGCAUGCAUAACAGAACACAACUUGGAAAUCAAACAGGGAAGCUGAAGCAGGAUGUCAGAGUCUAGCCUUGGCUAACAGACAUUCACAGUUAAGAACAAAGGACUUGUUAUGGGUGAGAAUACUUAGCUCAGAAAAGGUGAACGCAGUACUUUUUGAUAAACAGGAAGGUCUGGACCACUUCUGAUGACCUCAGAACCAGCUACUUAUGCAGACCCAUGGCCAGGGUCACAAACUGAAAGUGGGCAUCUCCGUCAUCAUCACUAACACUAUUGUCACAUCACCACCAUCAUCACUAGGACUGUCACCAUCACCAUCAGCCGUCAUUAACGUCGUAAUCACCAUCAUCACUGUGCCCAGUCAUCGCUGUCAUUACCACACCACCAUCAUCAUCAUCAUCAUGGUGUGAGUCAGCUUUCUGUCACUGUCACAAAAUCUGAGUCCACUUUUUAGGGAGGUCAGGUUUAUUUUGGUUCACGGUUUUGGAGGUUUGGGCCCAUGGCAAGGCAGAGCAUGGCAGAUGUGCACAGCAGGGGAGUUGCUCAUUUCAUGGAAUCCAGGAAACAAAAAGAGAAAGAACGAGAAGGGGAUGGGGCCUUACAUGCUUUCAAGGGCACACACUCAGGAACUUAACUUCUUCCCCUAGAGCCAAUCUUCUAAAGAGUUUACCACUUCCCACCAUGGACUGGGGCCAGGCGUUCAGUACAAGAACCUCUGGAGGACAUUCAGGAUCCAGAAGGUAGAAAUCAGCACCAUCAUCACCACCAUCAUCACCAUCAGCACCACUAUCACCAUCAUCAUCAUCAUCAUCAUCAAUCAGCACCACCAUCACCACCAUCACCAUCACCAUCACCAUCACCAUCAUCAGUCAGCACCACCAUCACCACCAUCAGCACCACCAUCACCACCAUCAGCACCACUACCACCAUCAUCAUCAUCAAUCAGCACCACCAUCACCACCAUCAGCACUACUAUUACCAUCACUACCAUCAUCAUCACCAUCAGCACCACCAUCACCACCACUACCAUCAUUAUCAUCAUCAUCAUCACCAUCAGCACCACCAUCACCACCAUCAGCACCACUAUCACCAUCAUCAUCAUCACUAUCACCACCAUCAGCACCACCACCACCAUCACCAUCACCAUCAGCACUAUAAGCUCUAUACCAGCUUCAAGCAAAGAUUUUGGAUGGAAAACACAGAGAUAAGCUUGGAGCACACGUGGAGAGCAGCCAGCUUCACACAAAGGCAGGGAAUCACAGGUCAGUGAGCAAUGGCCUUGUCCCAAGGAGGUUCCAUUCCAGCACCAGAGGUCUGAAGCCAUUCAGGAGUGUCUUGGGUGAGCAGCUGUUUGCUAGGGAGGCACUGUCACGGCCACCAUAACUUCAGCCUCACUGGAGACUCAGUAGCAAGGCAGAACAGAGGACAGAUGAAGGGAAGAAGGGAACAUUCCUGGACAGCUCCCUGCUGAGGGUUUUGUGGCCUCCCUACGGUAUAACUCCCAUGUGGUGGUUUGAACGAGAAUGGCCCACAUAGGCUCAUAUAUUUGAAUGUUGGUCACCAGAGAGUGGCACUAUAUUAUUAGAAGGACUAGGAGGUGUGGCCUUGUCGGAGGAAGUGUGGCACUGGGGGUGGACUUUGGGGUUUCAAAAGCCCAACCCAGGCCCAGUCUCUCUCUCUCUGGGAAUCAGGAUGCAGCUCUCAGAUACUUCUCCAGCACCAGGCCUGCAUGCUGCCAUGCUCCCUGCCGUGAUGACAAUGGACUAAGCCUCUGAAACUGUUAGCAAGUCCCCAAUUAAAUGCUUUUUUUUAAAAAAAAAAAAAAAUACAAGUUGCCUUGGUCAUGGUGUCUUUUCACAGGACUAGAACAGUGACCAAGACAUUGCACAGUGAGCAGGUGAUCAUUGCUUCUACUCCAUACAUAAAGGCCCUGAGGCACGGCAAAACCCAAUAGGGUACCAGUGAGGCCAGGGGACUAGGCACAUAAUUUGUGCCCCAGGAUCCCUGCAGCCUUACCCAAGCCCCAGGGAUCACAGGGCAGGAACGGAUAGCUACUCUGGCCUUCUUGAUCCCCUGCAGCAGGCCCCUCUUAGGCCAAGCCUUGUUCCUUGGGCUGGCUGAGGGUUGAGGCUCAGAUGUAGGCUCCACCCACGGGAGUAGCUGAAUAGCUGGGGAAGAGGCCAGGCCCCUAAGUCUGUCACCACACCAGCAAUGUGAGAAUCAUGCUGGGCCAGCACCACCUCUCCAGGACCCAGCACUGCCUCUAGCCUGGAAUCCCCACUGGGGUGUCCCUAGCGAGGUCUGGGCUGGCGCUAGUGUCCUGUCUCCCCAGAAGUUAGCCUAGGGUCUGACACCCAAGAUGGGUGCAGCCAGCCUGUAUGUCUGGCCUGGGUCACUGUGAUUCAGGUGAGGAGCUGGAAAAGGUGAGUCACAGUUCAACACAGGUGCGUCCUGGAGCCACAGAACCUCCCUGGCUUGGCCUGACUGUUUCGUCCCUGCUCUGCGCAGAGAAUGCUGUGUCUGUAGCGAAGGAUAGUCCGGUAGCUAGGCUGUGCCUGACACACACCUGGAGCUGUGUGUCCUGCCCUCUCUACAGUCAUCUCAGCAGGUUUGUGUCCUGCACAGCCUGCCACACUUUCCAGGAGACCGGAACUCAGGCAGCAUCAGCUGCUGCUCCUUCAUCACCAGGGACCACUGUUCUCUCUGCUCUGCCCAACCAUCACCACAUAGGAGACUCAGUGAGCCAGAUACAGACACUGUCCACUCCCCUCCAGAAUGACAGUGACUGAGGAGCAUGCCCCAUGGAGAGUAGGGAGGAGAGAAACAUCCAGAGAGAGGGACUCUACUCUUAGUACAUGGGAAGCCCAGGGCAGCUCCUGCUUGAUGGUUCGGGACCCGCCAGCUGACAUGCGCCAUCUCAGCAGAACCCUGAACCCGCUGCCCCCGAAAAGGUGACCAGCAGCCAUCACACAUGUGGAAAAGGCACCAGUGCAGACACCAAAGGAAGUCAUUCAAGAAGCGGCAGAUGGAGGGUCACGAACAGCCAGAAAUUAGGGGGAAAUUCUAAUCAGUGCACCCAGGGAUAGAAGUGGAUUUCAAACAAGAGCAGGGUGCUGUGACCAAGGAGUCACCAGAGAACAAGAAAGAGUGUCUAGAAAUUAAAAAUAGAAUUGCUAAAAUUAAAAGAAUCAAUAGAAGGGUUGGAAAACAAGGUCAAGAAAAUCUUCCAGAAAGAAAAACAAAAAGAAAAACUGAAUGAGAUUCAGUGGGAAAAUAUAGGUCGAAUGUGUUUUAGGGCAAUUCUAGGAAGGGAAACCAGCAAAUGGAGGAGAAAAAAGUUACCCAAGAAAUAAUACCAGAAAAUUUCCUAGAGCCAAGGACCUGGACUUUCACCGGGCAUUUACAGCAAACUUCAGGCUCCUGGGGACUCAGGGAAGCUUGAGUCCAGGAGGAAAAGCCGGUCACAAGUAAUGCAAGGUGGCCCCAGAGCUCCCCAGAGCACCCUGGUGCCAGGCAACUGCAAUGCUGCAAGAGUCCGAAGCAACGCUUUUCAAACACGGAACUCUGGCCCCAGCCAGAAUUGGACACAUUUGCGAACAUGCUUCCCAUGAAAGAAGAAAGUCAUGGAGCCGCAGGGCAAGGGCCUAGGAUGGGACCCCAGGGGACGCGGGGGGGGGGGGGGGGAUGAAAGACCCAAUGAAGAGCUCGCUCUCUUAGAUGGGGCAAGAGGAGAAACAAAAACCAAGUCAACUGCACCUGAGGAACAAAGAAGUACACGCCAAAGAGAAGAGGAAGUGCAUCUUCCUGAUCAGAGUCAAACAUGGGUUAGGAAGAAGAGCUGGAGGGGCAUAGAGCACAGGGCGUGCCAUUCACUGGUGCAGGCCAAGGGUGGCCGAGAAUGUACCUGGGUCUCUGAUCCACUCUACAUUCUCUGUUAAUUCAGACGCUUGCAGGGAUGCUCACAAGUUCACCUCUGCAGCCUCUCCUUCAGCCAACCCAGAGGUCCCUCCACAUCCACUGUGCUCUGGUUCUAUCACCGUGACCAACCCCCACACAGACACUUCUUGCUGUCACAGUGCUACCUCCCUGUUCGGGCUUUGGUCUCCAUCUCAGGCUGUUGUGGGGAGUGGGGAGGUAGUUGAAAGUCAGCAAGGGCCAUCUUGUAUUGGAAGUAGGACUACAGCCACUAGGCCUCAGCCCGAGCCUCAGCUUCUCUAUUUUCCCAAUCCUAAACCUGCAACAAAGCCCACAGCACACAGACAGGGGCAAUGUGAAUAAGUAAUUGCUCUUUUAUUAACGAGUGAUAAAUUAUUCCUAUAUGAUUGUGUGUGAUAACGCUUGCUUAUUUGAAAUCAAUUUGGAAUGGAAAUUGUUGGCGGCUUCUCACCUGCGCGGGUGGAAGCCAGGCACUCUUGCCUCCUACAGAAAAGGAGGUCACUGUAUUUUGGCUACAUCCUGAUGCUGCUGCAUUUAGGGUGCUGUGUCAGGCAUCAGGCGGAAGGGUAGUGGCCCUGGGGCUGUGAAGCCAGGGAGACCGGGUACCUCUAACCUCACUUCUGGGCAGCACCUCUCUCCAGGGUGCUACAUAGGUCAGCUCAGACUCGCAGGGUGGCUUUCCUGAGGCCCACAUCUGCAGCUCUAAAAAGUGCAAAGCUCUGCUGGUGAAGUGCAAAUGUGAGGACCCGAGGUAGGACCCCCAGCACCCACAGAAUAGCCAGACAUGGUAGUGUGAACCUGCAAUUCCAGUACUGGGAAGACAGGGACUGGAGGGCCCCUGGAGCUCACUGGCCAGCAAGUCUAGACAAAUUAGCACGUUCUAGGUUUGUUGAGACCCUGUCUAAAAAGUAAGGUGAAAAGAUCCCCAUAACUAGUCCAGGACCCAGACUCCCUUUGGGCUGAGGAAGGACCAGGUUGGGAGAGUCCCCUCCCCAACUGGCCCUAAGCCCUACUGGGGACCACUCCAGUGACCAUGGCCAGCAGUGCCAGGGGCCAUUCCCAGAUCUAGCUGUAUACAUCUCUCCCAUAUAAUCCUUGGGGAUCUGGGAGCCCUAACUGCCGCCUCACACAGGUCACACCCAGUGCCCACUGUCCAGCUCCGGCACUGCCUGGGCCACUUACAGCUCUCAUUAUUAAGCCUCAAAAACCACUUACCUUUUUCCUGGUCAUAGUCCUAAUGAUUCCACAAAACACGGCUCCAUUCUGUUCCCUCCCAGGAGCACGAUGCUAGAGGGUCGGAGGGCUCAGCCUCUGACGCUCCUCUUCCAACACAGGGAGGCCCCGAAACAUCUCCUACUUUAGCACCUCUUCUUGGGGAUGCAUAUUUACAACUCAGCAUCCAACAAGCCAACCACAUCUUCCCUCCACCCGGGCCCCACCCACUCCUUAGCUGUUUUGGGGGUGGCUGCAGCAGGCACCAAGUGAUCAUGACUUGGCCAGUAGGUGUCAGGGGGUUAGUCCCAGUUCUGGCUGCACUCAUCUUUCCCAUGUGACUGUUGAGGAUUUGGAAGGCAGCGGUGAGACUCGGUCACCCUUAAGUACAGCUACACGGGCCAGCUCAGUCAUCACUGAUGCCUCCUGAGCCUGGGUUUCUUAUCUGCGAGGCAGGAGAGCUGGUCCCAACCUUCCAUCCAAUGCCAAGGUUCCCACUUGGCCGCACAGGCUGGCACAGAGACUGGACAGAGACCUAGCUAGCCUCUGUGCACCUUGUUUCUGUCCCUGGGCCCUGGGGGCACCACGGAGGUAGAACCAUGGCUGUGACAGGCGAACGGCAGGAACGCUAUAUAUGUUUGGCACAUGCGACCACAUGCUCACUCUAGCAAGUGGCAGACUUUGGGUAGCUGUAGAGAUGGCAUCCCCCAAGGAUGGCCAGGGCUGGAGGGGUACUGAUCAUCUCCUGACUGGGGGAGGCUUGUGCACCCAAGUGCUGAGGUUCUGAGUGGCCCUCACAAGUGGCUUCCCUUAUGUGAUGGACAGAUGUUUGUAUUGUCCCUCCCACCACUGCUUUUUUUUGGAGAUAUUGUCUUGCACUGCUGGACAAGUUAGUCUAGAAUUUACUGUGUACCCCAGGCUGGCCUCAAACUCAUGGAGAGUCCCUGCCUCAGCCUUCCAAGUAGUAGGAUUACAAUAUGAGCUACAGUGCUCAGCUUCCCCCAAAAACAUAUGCUGAAGUCCCAACCCCCAAUGUGACUUAUUAUUUGUUUGUUUCUCUAUUUAUUUUGAGAGCACCAGAGGCCUAGGAUCUCGGACGUUUUGUGUUGGGCUUCGGGGAGGGAACAGAAUGGAGCCAUGUUUUGUGGAAUCAUUAGGACCAUGAUCAGGAAAAAAGUAAGUGGUUUUUGAGAUUUGGUAGUGAGAGCUAUGAGAGGCCUGAGCUGGGCACUGGGUGUGACCUGUAUGAGGUGACAUCCUAGAAUAGUCUGGGUCCCUUUAUUUUAUUUUCCUUUUUGAAAUGUUUAUGUUUAUGGGUAUUUUACCUACAUGUAUGUCUGUGUACCACGUGGAUGUAGUGCCCCUAGAGGCUGGAAGAGGGCGUCAGAUCUCCUGGGACCAGAGUUACAAAUGGUUAUAAGAUGCCAUGCGGGUGGGAACCCAAAUGUGGGUCCUCUGGAAGGGCAGCCCGUGAGCAUCUUUCCAGCCCCAGCCUGGAACUCCUUCUGCCUUGGUCAAAUGCUGAUGCUUUAGGAGUGUAACCAGUGUAACCUACCCGAUAUGAUGGUAUUUGAAGGGGUUAGUGGGGAGGUGGCUAGGAUUGACACCUCAAGAUAAGGUCUGAAGGGUGAGGCAUUGAGAUGGAUCAGUGGCCUAGCAGAGACUCCAGAGAGGCCAUUUCCUACAGCAAGAAAACCAUCUGCCCGCCAGAAACAAGUAGCUCACUGGAAUCUGACUGCGUUGACACUGAUCUUGGAGUCCUAGCCUCUAGAACUGAGAAAAUUAAUUUCUCCCAUUUGUGAUGCCCAGUUCACGGUAUUUUGCUACGGCAGUAUGAGAUAAUACAACCUCCUUCUCAAAACUUUGGAGUUUCUUUUCAGGUUUUCAGCCAUGAGUAUAAUCUGGUAAAAUCCAAAAUCUGGCGUGUUUCUGUUUGGGCUGUCCUGAGGUCCCUGCACACCACAGUCAAUCUUGUAGGGCAGCCCUGCGUUUAUCAGGGUUUGGGAGUCCUGGGUCCACUUGUGUAUGUGUGUGGGGGAAGGGGCAGGCUGAGGUGGGGUCCCCAACCUCUAAGUUUAUUCUUUCAUCUGGAAAUAGAGGUCAGGAAACCUACCUGGUUCAUACAGGCAGGGCAGGUGCACUGUGACUGCAUAAGAGAUGCCCAGCUCACAAGCUCAGAACUGCCAGAGGCACUUGGCCUCUCUCUGAGGAACUGUCCUCACCCUUUGGAGGCAAAGCCCAGUCCUGCCCUUUCCUCACCUCCUGCAGGCCUUUGUUCAAGCAACUCCUCCUUGGGCAAGCCUACCUUGUCCCCAGGCCCAUGGCCUCAAGGAGGCUCUUCUCGCCUGAACUCCACCCACCUCUUUAAGGAGGCUGGAUCCGAUCCGCCCUCCGGACACUCCUGGCCUUGUUCCCGCCCACCUUCAGACCUACAAGGCUUCUGUGGAGCCCUCUGGAGUCAGUGCCCACAAGCUCUAUCCAUGGGGCACUAGGGUCCUGGACAUCCUGACCACAGCAGGUCUCCACGUCAGAUGUUCCCAGGCAAGGCAAGGACAGUGAACAUCCACAACCCGGCCAGAACUGAGGCCCUGGGCUGAGAGCCUCUCCCUCUCUAUCUGCCACCUCAGAACCACAGGUAGCAAAUCCUGCCCUCCCAAGGGCUGCUGUCACAGCUGAUAAAGAUGGUCCUAUGACCUAAGGGUCUGGAGAUCCCUGGGAAUUCAUCUCCUGAGGCUUUGGGUCUUGGUAGCUGUCUUGGGGUGGGGAGUGUUUAGCCAGAGGGGGACCAGGCUGGUUGUGGAGAUGCUGGGACCGGGGACUGCCCCUGGAGUUGCUGGCUGUGACUGAGGCCCUAUGGGAUGAGUGGGAACGGAGUAGUCUUCAGUGUUAGGAAGGGCUCGGAAGAGGUCUGAUGCCCCCCACCCACCCACCCAGCCACCCACCCAGCCACCUCGUAGCCAGGCCGUGGCUCUGGCAGCAGGUGAAGAAUGGAGCGUAUUAGGGCCACCAUCUGUCUCGGCUGUGAUGGGCUCUCUCUACUGACAUCCAGGAGCUAUGUAGAUGGAAUAUCUUUAUGGGAAGAGUUUUUCUUUUGCCAAUUUUCGAACAGGAAGCCAGACACUUGUCACACCUGUCCUCGUGUCAGCCUCUGCCUGACAUAAAUUGGGGCCGAGGCAGGGAGAUGAAAGACAGCCUGGACACGGCCCAGUGUGCAGAGACCACGUGUCAGGCCACAGAACACACAGCCACGAGGGUGUCCUGCUGGGGCUCGGUGCAGUGAGUUCCUCCUGCCUCCUCCCUUCCCCUGCCCAAAGGCCAGCCUGCUCUGGCACCCCUGCCUCCCACAGAGCAGGGAGAUGCUCUGACACAGCCAGCCCCCCUCCCCGGCCCAGGCUCCAGUUCCACUGGAGGGGAGGACCCCACACAGAGGGCAGGCCUCAGGGCCCCCGUCCGCUCUGUUGGCACCCACACUACACCUUUCUCUCUUUGAGAUUUGAGGACAUCUCUUUGGAACCUGGGACGGCUUGGGGAGAAAAGAUGUUACAAAGAUCUCCAGGUCUCCAUGGCCCAGCACAGGGCUGGCCUGUAACUGGUGACGCCAGAAGACUUCGGUGAGAGAAAGGAGGGAAAGGCCAAUGCCACCGGAGGCCUUCCUGCAACGGGAGCCACCCAGAGCCCCGCCUCCAUGUGGGCAGCCCACGGCCCAUCAGCUUUACCAAGGGCAGGGCCCUCCCAGAGGCACACCCAGGACCACAGCUGUCACGGACAUGCAGCCACAGUUUUGGGGUCCACUGCCAGGACUUCUUCCAAGGACCGAGUAGGCACACAAGCAGCCCCUCUCACGGGCUGCCAGCUGAGUGGAGAUAGGAAAGUCUCCAGAUAAAGGAGAUGCUACUCCUGGGUCAGCCAGGCUCUUGUGGCCAGGCUCCUGCCCAGCGGCAGAGCUGUGCCUCACGUUUCUCAAAGGUAUGAAGACACCCCCCACCCCGAUCCCUGACAGAGAUCCUAGCUUCUCUCUGCAUUCCCCAGCUGCUGCUGGGCCUGCCUGGGGCGUGUGUGUACCCCACCCUCACCCCACCAUGCCCUCUCUUCCCAGUGACCAUGAACUAGAGCAUCACUCCCCCAAGACAACUGGUGAGGACACUCUUGGCAGACAAGGGGGGAGGGUUGUGGGGGGUUGCUCCAGACAUGGGCUCUUCCUGCACCCUCAGUGCUAUGCACAGGCUUGUGAUCAGGAGCUCACAGGGCGCACACACCUAUUCCCACUUUCUGUUUAGGGGUGGGGCAAGGGUAGGUGGGACUGACCAAGAGUCGGAGGAAGUACAGGAAUUGGGGGCUCUGUCUCCCACCAAGGGCUCCAAAGCUAUCACCAACCUGUUUCCACAGCCAGUACCUCAGUCUAUGCGGGAGGUACAGGAGUGUGGCAGCCUGCUGGGAGGAGUCCCAUCACCCGGAUGACCAGGAACUGGCCAGCAUGGCCAAAUCAAACUCCCUGUAGCCAGCUGGCUUUCAUCAGCAUGUCCACCUUCACACUAUCCGCAUGCCAACAGGGAGGCUCAGGAGCCAGCAUCCGCCUUUGGGUUCUGGAGCCUUCACCUGCAGCCAUCUUGGCCAACCAGGCUGCCCUUGACUGCCAGUCCUGAGAGCCACCAGCUUGGGUAUUUCCCAGCAGACAUAGGGGCAAGCAGGUGGCUGGGAGGAAUGUUCCUCUUUGCUGACACCCAGCAGCCUACUGGACCUCCCUCUGCAGCUCUUUGCUGGGGUGACUGCCCACUGCUCAUGCCCCCCAAACCCUCAUGCCAGGGUGGGCUGCUUGGAGGAUGUGGAGGUGGGGAGGCAGGCACCUGGAACCCCGGUGACAAGAAGGUCCCCAUCAAAGGGCGGAAGAGACAGUUCCCACACAAGAUCUUCUGGCCCACCCUGAGAGCAAAUGAGUUUUAGGGGCAGCUAGCAGAGACUUUAGGUAGGCUCAGAGGGCACACGGCAAGCAGAGAGCCCGGGGUGGAAUGGAGAGCAUCUGUGCCUACAGGCCGGGGGGGGGGGGGGGGGGGGCUCUGAGAUGGACUUGCAGUGAGGGCUAGAAGGGAAAUAAGGCAAGAGGUCAGACUGGACACUGGCCUUGUCUUUGGGGAGGAGGAGGAGGAGGAGGAGGAGGAGGAGGAGGAGGAGGAGGCACAGACUCUGGGCUCGGAUGUUGGGUGCAGAGGAUGUGACACCAUCUGGCUGAGUCUGGGCAACUGUGGUAUCAGUUGGGGGGCAUCUGGGUAUCAGCAAAGAUGAGUGGCCUCACUGGUGUGAGUAAGUGCCUGGGUGCCUGUUCACCCCUGCACCCCCUAGGAGAUGCUCAAGCCGGUGACCCUAAGGGGUAGCCUAUCUGGCUAAGAUGGGUGCGGGCUGAGUGGUCUUGGGCACUACAGACCUCUAAUUGGCCGCACUAGCCUGGUACUUGGCAUGGAGGCAGGUUUUGUGCACUAACUACUGCCAGGCCAGGUUGAGCUGGACACGGGGUGGGGACGGGGCACAUAAGGGUAGGGGCUGUGAUUCCCAGACGCCGUCACCUCUUUUCUGCUUUCCAUCCAUGUUUCAGUCUUUCUUGUGUAGCUAGUGUGCAGGGCCUGCUCCUGGCCCAGCUGCUGAGUGAUGCCACCGCCAUCUCCCCCAGAGAACAGCACUCCUAGUAUUGAGGAGGACUCUGUGUUUUCCUGGUCCUCGGGGCACCAAGCUGGAAGGACCACUCUGGUAAACAGCCACAGACUACAGAUGACACCUAAGUGACCAGCAGAGUGGUGAGGCCCAAGGUGACACAGCAAGGCAGCACCGCAGGAGCUGAUCCUAAGGCUGCCGGACUCGGAGGAAGGGGAACUCCUGGCAGGUUCCCAAGCUGGCCCCAUCUGGGCCCUGGCAGGAGGGUGAAUAAAGCCAGCGUCCUAACAAGGUCACAACCGUUGGGACAAAUCGAGGACACAGUGUAGGGGAUUGCAGGCAGGUCAGGGACAAUCUGAGAGGGCUCCCAGGAGGCAGUGAGCCUAGAGCCUCACUCUGGUCUGAGACCCUGGGCACUCUAACAUGUUCAGCCCCACCCCCUACCUCAGUGGGCCCCUCACCCAGCUCCAGCUUUUGCCUGACAUUUCCCGUGACAUUUGCUGCAAAGAAAUAGAGUCAUAAAUUCAAAGGUUAAAUUUGCA